AGAGUUUGAUCAUGGCUCAGGAUGAACGCUAGCGGCAGGCUUAACACAUGCAAGUCGAGGGGUAACGAUGGUGCUUGCACCAGGCGACGACCGGCGCACGGGUGAGUAACGCGUAUGCAACCUACCUAUAACUAAAGAAUAGCCCGAAGAAAUUUGGAUUAAUACUUUAGAUUAUCUGAGAGAGGCAUCUCUCACAGAUUAAAGCUCCGGCGGUUAUAGAUGGGCAUGCGUGCCAUUAGCUUGUUGGUGAGGUAACGGCUCACCAAGGCUAUGAUGGCUAGGGGGUCUUAAAGGAUGAUCCCCCACACUGGUACUGAGACACGGACCAGACUCCUACGGGAGGCAGCAGUGAGGAAUAUUGGUCAAUGGGCGAAAGUCUGAACCAGCCAUGCCGCGUGCAGGAUGACGAUCCUAUGGAUUGUAAACUGCUUUUGUACGGGAAGAAUAUUUUCUACGUGUAGGAAAUUGACGGUACCGUGCGAAUAAGCAUCGGCUAACUCCGUGCCAGCAGCCGCGGUAAUACGGAGGAUGCAAGUGUUAUCCGGAUUUAUUAGGUUUAAAGGGUACGCAGGCGGAAGAGUAAGUCAGUGGUGAAAUCCUACAGCUUAACUGUAGAACUGCCAUUGAUACUGUUCUUCUUGAGUGCAGUUGAGGCAGGCGGAAUGCGUAGUGUAGCGGUGAAAUGCAUAGAUAUUGCGCAGAACUCCGAUUGCGAAGGCAGCUUGCAAAACUGUAACUGACGCUCAUGUACGAAAGCGUGGGGAGCGAACAGGAUUAGAUACCCUGUAGUCCACCCGUAAACGAUGAUCACUCGUUGUGUGCGGAUACACUGUACGCGNACUGNNNAGCNAAAGCAUUAAGUGAUCCACCUGGGGAGUACGUCGGCAACGAUGAAACUCAAAGGAAUUGACGGGGGCCCGCACAAGCGGAGGAACAUGUGGUUUAAUUCGAUGAUACGCGAGGAACCUUACCCGGGUUUAAAUGCAAGACGACGUACUGUGAAAGCAGUAUUUCUUCGGACGUCUUGUAAGGUGCUGCAUGGCUGUCGUCAGCUCGUGCCGUGAGGUGUCGGGUUAAGUCCCAUAACGAGCGAAACCCCUAUUGUUAGUUGCCAGCGAGUAAUGUCGGGGACUCUAGCAAGACUGCCACCGUAAGGUGUGAGGAAGGUGGGGAUGACGUCAAGUCAGCACGGCCCUUAUGUCCGGGGCUACACACGUGUUACAAUGGUUGGUACAAAGGGCAGCUACACAGCGAUGUGAUGCUAAUCUCAAAAACCAAUCUCAGUUCGGAUUGGAGUCUGCAACUCGACUCCAUGAAGUUGGAUUCGCUAGUAAUCGUAUAUCAGCAAUGAUACGGUGAAUACGUUCCCGGGCCUUGUACACACCGCCCGUCAAGCCAUGGAAGCCGGGAGUGCCUGAAGUCCGUAACCGCGAGGAUCGGCCUAGGGUAAGACCGGUAACUGGGGCUAAGUCGUAACAAGGUA
RNAcentral lists this ribosomal RNA (1483 nucleotides) under uncultured bacterium. Its description in RNAcentral is "16S ribosomal RNA". It matches the Rfam family "Bacterial small subunit ribosomal RNA". The record is from RNAcentral.